This is a long non-coding RNA of Alosa alosa (allis shad), 726 nucleotides long. RefSeq lists it as uncharacterized. The record is from RefSeq and is a predicted model, not a curated record. NCBI's taxonomy places the organism in Eukaryota, Metazoa, Chordata, Actinopteri, Clupeiformes, Clupeidae. The transcript is spliced from 3 exons.
UACAAAUAAAGCUGAGACUUUCCAUAGUCUUCCCAAGGAUUCAAAAGUUCGAGGGGCAUGGAUAAUGUUUUUCUACCAGAAGAUCCCUGCAAAGUUUGACACUCCGUUAUUAAUUUGCAAAACAUUUCACCGAAGGCAGUUUUCAAAACCUUGUACAGUUAAGCAGGAUUUGCUAAGCUGCUGUUACUGAAACGAGGGGCUGUUCCGACCGUAAGGUCAUCACAACCGCAUGCUGUUUUAUCUAGCAGCCAUGCACUUCAAUGAGAAUGCUGAGUACCCACAACAGAAGACAGCCAAUGAGAAACUAUGUACAGACUUGCCAAACAAUUUGAUGCUGUCCAGCGGAUUCCUGUGCCCCAGGACUUGUGUGCUCAGCUUGACAGACCUUCCAUGGAGGAUGCGGUUGCUGAACAUGUGUCACGGUUCAGUCGAAAAGGGGUCUGAAUCCAACGUACUGCCCUGAAGUAUCCGGAAGCUCACUUCAUGUAUAAGUCACGUGUCUGCAAGGGGUGAAUAGCCUACGAACUGCACAGAGCUCCUGCCCAGCUAACUGGACGUCCUGUUGUAAGAUCGCAUAUUACCACUACAAUAAUGUAUGUAACUCCUAAUCAGAUGACCUAUUCACCAGGAGAAUAUACUUACUGACUAAAACGAGUACUUUCCUUGCAAGCAGCACUCCUUUCACUACAGCAUAGCCUGAACUGCCCACGACGGGCUACAAACUUU